UAUGUCAGCUCCAGGGUACUGCCGGAACGUCCUGUACUAUCUAAAAUGCCGGACCGCAUCUCGCCUACUCCACUAACGAGUCUAGGGAGUCGCCUACGCCUACUCCC
Molecule: long non-coding RNA, 107 nt
Organism: Priapulus caudatus
Lineage: Eukaryota; Metazoa; Priapulida; Priapulimorpha; Priapulimorphida; Priapulidae
Exons: 3
Source: RefSeq, a predicted model, not a curated record